Molecule: long non-coding RNA, 5257 nt
Organism: Corvus hawaiiensis (hawaiian crow)
Lineage: Eukaryota; Metazoa; Chordata; Aves; Passeriformes; Corvidae
Exons: 6
Source: RefSeq, a predicted model, not a curated record
AAGACUUUUUUCCUAAUAUCUAAUCUAAACCUGCUCUCUUUCAGUUUGAAGCCAAUCCCCCCUGUCGUGUCACUAUAUUACUGUCCUUGUAAAUAGUCUUGCCUCAUCUUUCCUGUAGGCUCUCUUCAGGUACUGGAAGGUCGCAAUUAGGUCAACCUGAACCCUUCUCUUCUCCAGGCUGAACAAUCCCAAUUCCCUCAACUUUUCCUCACAGGAGAGGUGCUCCAUCUGUCUAAAUAACUUGUUGGCCUCCUCUGGACUCACUCCAACAGGUCAAUGUCCUUCCUUCAAGUGUCAUUCAGGUGUACUCCCUAACUCCUGACAGAACUGAAACCACUGAAAGUAACUGAACAACAGACAGCAGUGCUUGAAAUCCCCCCAGCAAAGAAAGUGCAAAGCUUCCCUUAGAAGUUCAAUGGGAAAGAGUCAAAUGGUGACCCAUGGGACAUUUGACUGCAGUCUGCUGAGGACCAGCAGCAGAACAUGAGGCUGAUUCUCCAGUUAUUGAAGAAUCUCUCCUCGAGCUUUUUCCUGAACACAGCAUCCCUGUGAAGACCAAGUGCACUGCAAGCAGCGAGGUCCCUUCCAAGGCAAAGCCAAGGCCCAAAGUCACAUCAAGGACAGUGUGGAGGAGACAGAGGAAGAGAAUGUGGUGUUGGAGAAAGCCAAUGACUGCAUUACCACCAAAAGCUUGGUUCGGUUGGCAUCUUGAAAUGGGACUAGCUCUGCAUUCACAUCUGCAAGCUGUGGACUCUCCUGCUGUCACAGAACCUUCAGAACUGCUGAAGGUGGUGGAUUUUUCGGCUCCAGCCUUGGCUUAGCGUGGCAGGAACCAGACCAGAGGGAUGUGCUGUCAGGAUAUGCAUUAGAGACAUGAGCUGAGGACACCAAAAAGUGGACAAAAUGCACCAAGGUCCCUAUCUCUAGUACCACUUACAGUGUGGGGAGCUUGCAGGAGAGACAAAUACUGCUUCUGAACCCAAGCCAUGAGUGAAGCUGUUAUGGGAGAAGCAGUGUCGUUAGAGGAAGGAAUUCUAGCAAUGCCACCUUCAGGUAAGGCCUGCAGUAUCCAUCUAGCUGGAAUUCCUACCUGUUAGCUGUUACUUUCUUUUGUUUCUAACAUAUACCACAUUUUGCAAAGUUUUAUCAAAUUCAUCUUGCACUAAAAAAAGCAUUUAUCAUCACAGCUCUGCUGGGUUUUGUUCAGUUUUCAGAGAUUCUGGGAGGAGAUGGAGAGCAGCACAAAGUUGUGCAGUCCUUGAGCCAAAUUUAAAUCAUUCUGCCAUCCUUCUUGCUAAGAUGUCCCCUGAAUGAGGGUGUCAGGUAUAAUGGUGUAAUAAUUGUUUGUUCCACCAUAUGACUGCUCACAUCAUGCCUCACGUGGUUACAGAGGUCACUAUUGGAAGAUUCUCUGAUUCCUAACAUGGAUUCAGUAGUCCGAGUAUGGGUUAGGACAGUUGAUGCUACAGUAAAUAAAUCAUCAUGCUUGAAACAGCCAUUUGCUGUAAAUAUGUGGUGUUACUGAGACAGGAUAAUAAUCCUUUCAGGCCCUCAGUGAGCACUCAGCAUUCUGGCACCUAAAGUUGAAGUAAUAUUAGCAGAGGUCAUGCUUCAAGUACACUAAUUAUGUCUUGAGAAUGAAGAUAUGAAUGAGAAUGACCUGCCAUGAAAUCCCUAGAUACCUCACUAAUUGAGGUAGAAAAGCAUUUAAAUCUUUAUUGUUUAGAGCUUGUUUGCUUAAUUAUUAAUUAGAAAAUUCAAGCGUUUUGUCUAAGAUAGUCCCAGGUGACAAAGCAUGGUGCUGGCUGUCCUCAGUAGCAGUAAGGCCAGCAGGAACAGAUGAUUCAUGAGUCAUGUUAUAUAGCACCUAUUCCUGUAGAGCAGAAGGACAUUCAGGUUUGACUGAGGAAGUCUCAGAAAGCAACAUCCAGGUGACCAUUUUUCAUAUUGAUCAUUUCUCUUCUCAAUCUCCACUUUGAAACUACAUAACCCAUCCAUGCAGCAUGGCUUUGUUACUGUAUCUUCAAAUAAGGAAACACCAAAAAAUCCCAAAGAGACCAUAGGCUCCAGACAAACUUCUCUGGUGUGAGGUGGCAACAUGCAGUACUGUGCUGAAGAGUUUGAGAAGUCCUGUAAGAAAGAGACAUUAUACAAAACUGCUCAUGGCAGGAUUUGGACAGUAAAAUCAUCAAAUGAGUCAUUAGACCUGCCUUUCCCUUUCCUUUGUUCUCACUCAUGUAUUACAUGUAAACUACACUUUUUUGGCACAUUUUUUCCAUUAUCUUUAAAUAUUCCUGUUCCAUCCACCUCACCUGAAAUUGUCCUGAGUAGGUGCUCAUCAGUAAGCAGUUGAUUGCAUUGAUGUUUCUCUUGUGGUUGCACAGCUUAAGAGAAGAGCUGACAACAUUUUAACCCUUACACUUUACUGCCUUCUGCUAAAACAGCCUGAAGGAUUCUUCUUCCAGUCUCUGAGGUGACUCAACAGGCUGAAGAAUGGCUGUAAUUUUCUGUGCAAUCUCUCACUCUCUUACUUUUUCGUUUUUUCUCUCUCUGUUUUCUUUCAUUCCUGCCCACCCAGGUUUGAUCUGACUGUGAGGCUGAAGAGCCACAUGGUGGUUUGUGCUGGGACAGCACCAUGCCUUCGCACAUCUUUUCUGUGAGCUUCCAUGUUAUGUCCUGCCAGAGAAGAAAUCCUGCAAUUAGUGUUUUCUUGGGUAUCUGGUGAAAUACACCUGCAGGGUUUUAGAGCCUGGAGUCAUCCUUUGGCCUUUAUCACAAGCUGUCACUUUGGUUUCAAAGUUGACUAUUGGAGAAAACUCAUGCAGAACUUCAGGUUCACAAAGUCCUGCAUAACUGCUCACUGUUUUUAUGGCAAGCCUUUUUAUAGGCCUCCCUGUGGUGGUAGAGGCCUAUGUGGGACUUCCGUGCACACAAGUUUCAGCUGCACAACCCAGCCCUUCACAGGGGGAGCAUCAGUGCUCAACAAACCAUAAAACAUUGGGGAAGCUCUGUGAUUCACCAUGAGAAGCAGAAUUUUUCAAGCAUGCAACUACAGUUCAUGUAAGGUGAAGAUAAAUCAUUCUUCAUUAAACCUUGAAUGACCUAGGGUUGUAAAGACAAUGCUUGAGGUCCCAACACUGUCCUGUCUGAGGUACAAUUUAUAUUGACAUGGAUGUUGAGCUCAUUUCUGUAGAUACUAACAGUAAUUUAUGUGCUUUCCUUUUUUUUUUUAAGCCUGGACUACUACAUGAGCUCAGGCUCCACAUGACCUUGCAGAAUGAACCCUGCUGUAAGAAGGUACUUCUCAGUUUAAAUUGUAUAAGUUGAUCUGUAUCACACCAGCUGUUUUCCCUCAGCUUUCAAGAUGAUCAAACUAAUGAACUGUAGCAUGGGGUUAUGUGGAUUCUCCCAGGCCAUGACAGAUGUGUGCACUUUGCUGGGGACAAAGCCUGCCAUUGCCUUUGCAGCUUGAAGAAAUCUCCAGGACUGGUGUCCUUGAAACAUUUUUCUCACAGGCUGAUUACGCUCAAGUAGCUCCUGUAGCCACAGACAUCCCUGUUGUGCUCAAAGAUGGGGUUUGUUUCUGACGCUGCCCAAGGCAGGAAGCAGAAUUUUAUAAUUGCAGUUGUUUUGGCCAAUGCUCACCACCAGUGGUGUGGCAAAAAGAGGGAGGACAAGAACUAUUCCCAGUCCUGAUCCACAGCACCGAGUGAUUUGUUUCUGACCUGUACCACAUUAUCCUCAAGAAGGGUUGCAGAGACAUCGUUUACAACAUCCACCUGCAAGCUGCAGGUACAGCAUAGAGAAAACUUGAGCACCUCCAUCACCAUGGGGUACUGACAAGAGGCUCUCUUCUGAUGAUGGAAAUUAGACACAACUUCUACAUCAAUACUAGGGUGAGGAAGGCUGGGGUUUUUUUCUUAAAAAUGAAACAAAACAAAAAGAACAAAAAGUUUCCAAUGAUACAACCCUUUAUCCAAAAAACGCCCCAGGAGCAAUCCAAAAUGUUUCCAUUCAAGAGGAGAAAGACUCCUUGGUCAGAAAAGACUUUCCUACUUCUUGUCAUUGUGUUUCCCAACUCCCUCCUUCAUGUUAGCUGAGCCAAGCCUGGAAGCAGCAUGGCUCAGAGUCAAGGAAUAAGGAUGGUACUGCUGGGGCUUUGUUUACUCUGUCCAAUGUGGAGGGAAAGGGUGAAGCAGUUAUUGCUCCAGACACUCCCAGUGCUACCUUGUUUUUCAUGCCAUUAUUUGAACAGGAAAAUCCCCAUAACAGUACUGAUACAACAGUGUCUGUCCCCUCAGCAGUCUGGUGACACCAUUUCCGUUGCCAGUGGGUCUGUGCCAGCCAAGUGGAGGCAGGCUGGCUUGGCUCCUUAGAGAAACUCCUAUUACUGUAAUGGUCUGCUGAGGUUACAGACCUAUGUACUUGUCAUCCUUUCAGAGAAUGCUUUUCAAAACUAACAGCCUUGUUUUUUCAUCAGAAGGUAAUUACAAAGUACAAAUUGGCCCUCGGGUUGCUCAAGGUAGAAGAAAUCAAGGAAAGAAGUACUUUCCUAGAUACACAGUGAUUUUGGAAGUGAAACAUUUUUGCCCUAGAAAAGGACAGAGGGAGGGAGCCAAACAGAAUAAACUAGUACUUAAAUGGAUUCAUUAAUUCUUAGCUUUCCCUGACCACCCAGUAAUCUGCAGCUGGCUGAAGGAGUCCCAGACACCAUGACCCUAAACCACAGCUCAGAUGCAGAAGACAACUAGGAGACUUAUUAUGGUGUCCUGCAAUGUGAUGUCAGUACUGACAUGUGGUUCACAGGCACAGAGAAGGUCUCCAGCAAUAAAUACACUGUCACAGGCCUGCUCCCAGGGAGGAAAUACUUCUUCUGAGUCAUUGUCUGCAAUGACAGUGGAGACACUGACCCUCUGGAUUCUCAGGAGCAAUGGAACAUCUCCAGACACAGAGGGAUUCUGCCAUGCCACCUUCUCAACUCCAGCCAGCCCAGAUGCUGUGACACAUGCCAGGAAACCAAACCUGACCCAAUUACCUCUCUAACCUCAAGAGAAGCUCAAGAGAAAGACUCAUCCAUUAUGUGAUUCCUCUAACCAUGAUGGAUUUUAGUCAAGGGGUGAGUGCUUCCCAGCGCCCAGGGCUUAAGCUGUACAUGAAUAAACAAAACAUGUGGCCCAGCAACUCAUUACUAAAUAAAGAGGGUAACAGCUGGGCUCCAUGGCAUCCCCUUAGGACUGACACUGUACUCACCAUGAAU